This is a long non-coding RNA of Anopheles merus, 1226 nucleotides long. RefSeq lists it as uncharacterized. NCBI's taxonomy places the organism in Eukaryota, Metazoa, Arthropoda, Insecta, Diptera, Culicidae. The transcript is spliced from 3 exons. The record is from RefSeq and is a predicted model, not a curated record.
CACUCUUGAAGAUUACGUGCCGUGAUCAGUCUUACGCCGAGCGUGAAUCGGAUCGGUGACUUGAGCGAAGAAGGCAGCAAGCAAAGCGAAGUUUAGUUAGCUAGUUGAUGAAACCCUUAAGGAGCGACUUCCAACGGCACAACAGUUUCACCGAGUAAAGUCUACGUGCGCUCUGUCCACAAACUUCACUGUGUAUAGCUCACUAGCUCUAGUUCUAUUUAAACUUACGCAAAGAACUUAGCAUCCUCAGAGAGAAGGAAAAGGCGCUGAGCAUCAUGAAUAAGUGACGGUUUGGCGCGUGAUGAACACAAUGCGAAAUUUUACUCUGCUUUACUGGACCUGCCCGACCCUGGACCUCUAUGGCUGGCCAGCAGAAUACAUUGACCCUGGUUGUUUCGACCUCAUUAUUUCCACCUAAACGCCUUCAUUGCUGCGAUGCGACAUUGAUGAUUAAAUUCAAAAUUAAGGUGGAUCCCUGGCCGAUAUUGUCAUAAGCGUCUUUAGUAUUUUAAAAGUCUGUGUACUUUUCUUUCAUUUUUUUCAUUAUUUGUUUUGUUUCUUUGUUUACCAAAUCCUAUUUUUUCUUUGGUUUUUCUUGUAGUUUCAUAUUUUUAUACUUAGGCUUUUGAACAAUUUUUCAUUAGAUUAAAGCAUUAUAAAUUAAGCUUAAUUACUUAUUUUCAUUUAACCAGAGAUCAAGCAUUAUAAUAAAUUAUUUCUAACAUUUUUUAAAUCUAAGAAGCAUUAAAUAAUUUUAUGUUGCGAAAAUUUACAUUACCUAUUUAAAAUAUUCGUGUUACCUAAAUUCUUCUCACAAAAUUACUUUUUAUUGAAUUUACUCAAAUAUUAUGAUCAAUAUUUUAAUUACUUGAUAAAUGAAUUAGCUUUGCUUAACAUAAUUUUAUUAUUGGCUUAAAGACAUUUAUAUUUGGUUUCAUUCUAUCAUUUUUAAUAUUUUUUCAUUAAAAAAUUCGUAUUAUGUUUUUUUGUUAUAUGCUUCUAAAUUUCUUCAACAUUUUAUUUGUAUCGAUACAUUUAUUGGAUUUAUACAUAUAAUCGUUGCUAUUAACUUAAUUUACAAGGAUACAAACUAUUUCAAAGAUGUUAAAUUAUUUAGAUUUACGAAAGUAAUUAGAAUACGAAACAUUACCUGUUGCCGCGUUGUUAUAAGAGAGUACAUAGAGUGGUAAUAUUUUUUUUACUUACAAAUGUAAUUUAAUGUAACA